This 497-nucleotide ribosomal RNA is filed under the name uncultured bacterium. Its description in RNAcentral is "partial 16S ribosomal RNA". It matches the Rfam family "Bacterial small subunit ribosomal RNA", at positions 28 to 523 of the family's 1533-position model. The record is from RNAcentral.
GACGAACGCUGGCGGCAUGCCUAACACAUGCAAGUCGAACGGUAAGGCUUCCUUCGGGAAGUACACGAGUGGCGGACGGGAGCGUACCGCGUAUGCAACCUACCUUUAACAGGGGGAUAACGGAGAGAAAUUUCCACUAAUACCCCAUAACAUCGCUCAAGGCAUUUUGCUUGGAUGACAACUCCGGUGGUUAAAGAUGGGCAUGCGUUGUAUUAGGUAGUUGGUGAGGUAAUGGCUCACCAAGCCUACGAUACAGAGGGGGACUGAGAGGUUAGCCCCCCACACUGGUACUGAGACACGGACCAGACUCCUACGGGAGGCAGCAGUGAGGAAUAUUGGUCAAUGGGGGCAACCCUGAACCAGCCAUGCCGCGUGCAGGAAGACGGCUCUAUGAGUUGUAAACUGCUUCUAAACAGGGAUAAAGCACAGUAUGUAUACUGUGUUGAAGGUACUGUAAGAAUAAGGAUCGGCUAACUCCGUGCCAGCAGCCGCCGUAA